UACAGAGGGGGCAAGCGUUAUUCGGAAUUACUGGGCGUAAAGGGCGCGUAGGCGGUUCGUUAAGUCCUGUGUGAAAUCCCCCGGCUCAACUGGGGAACUGCACAGGAAACUAGCGGGCUUGAGUUCGGGAGAGGGAAGCGGAAUUCCGGGUGUAGCGGUGAAAUGCGUAGAUAUCCGGAGGAACACCGGUGGCGAAGGCGGCUUCCUGGACCGACACUGACGCUGAGGCGCGAAAGCUAGGGGAGCAAACGGG
RNAcentral lists this ribosomal RNA (253 nucleotides) under uncultured bacterium. Its description in RNAcentral is "partial 16S ribosomal RNA". It matches the Rfam family "Bacterial small subunit ribosomal RNA", at positions 524 to 776 of the family's 1533-position model. The record is from RNAcentral.